Long non-coding RNA from Vespa mandarinia (Asian giant hornet), 843 nucleotides. NCBI's taxonomy places the organism in Eukaryota, Metazoa, Arthropoda, Insecta, Hymenoptera, Vespidae. The record is from RefSeq and is a predicted model, not a curated record.
GAAAGAGAGGAGAAAGGAAAAUGAAAGGAAAGAAAAAAAAAAGAAGAAAAGAAAAAGAACAAGAAAAAAUAACAUAUAAUAAUGAUCAUCGCGCUGUGUCUUAUUUUUAUUAUCGUUAAAACAUACACACGAUCUGAAUGACUUGUUAAUGACAUUAUAAGUAUAAAUAAGUUGGAUAUUAUUAUAAAAACAACAAAAAAGAAAAAAAGGGAAAUUAAGAUAAGAAAAGUAUCAUAGGUUCGUGCAGGCACACCAUGAUAAACUGCGAUGAACUUUUUGUGUAUCGAAGUAUCACAUUUCUUAUUGGAUUUAUUUGAUUUCAUUUUGCAAUAAAUACAACAAUUACACGUCUUUGUUUGUUUUUUGUUUAUUUUCUUUUGCUUUCUUUCUUUCUUUCUUUCUUUCUUUCUUUCUUUUUCUUUUUCUUUUUCUUUUCUUCUUUUUUUUUUUCUUCCUUUCACCACACUUUUAUUAAUCUACCAGUAUCAUAAUUUCUCUUUCCAUUGAUAUCGAUCUAAUUUUAUUCUAUCACGGAUUAAAUUUAAUUUAUAAAAUUAAUCCCAAUUUAAUCAAUAGAUAUGCAAAUUUUGUUUAAUUUUACUAAUUAUACCUGAUUAUUAUUUGCCACAUUAAGAAUUGAAAAAAGAAAAUAUUUUAUAAAAUGUCACAAACUGUAUAAACGAAUAUACCAUGUAAAAUCUUUUUCAUUUUCGAUCGAUCGCAACCAAUCGAAUUCAAUAUUUAACGCGAUGAGAUAUCUCUCUGUAUAUAUUGUAAAUUUACUUGUAAAGAAACAGACAAGGGGAAAAAAAAGAGAGAGGAAGAAGAAGAAGAAGAAGAAGA